RNAcentral lists this ribosomal RNA (253 nucleotides) under uncultured bacterium. RNAcentral describes it as "partial 16S ribosomal RNA". It matches the Rfam family "Bacterial small subunit ribosomal RNA", at positions 524 to 776 of the family's 1533-position model. The record is from RNAcentral.
UACAGGGGGUGCAAACGUUGCUCGGAAUCAUUGGGCGUAAAGCGCACGUAGGCGGUUCGUUAUGUCGGAUGUGAAAGCCCUUGGCUUAACCGAGGAAGUGCAUCCGAAACUGGCGAGCUAGAGUACGAAAGAGGAUCGCGGAAUUCCCGGUGUAGAGGUGAAAUUCGUAGAUAUUCGCAAGAACACCAGUGGCGAAGGCGGCUCACUGGCCCGGUACUGACGCUGAGGUGCGAAAGCGUGGGGAGCAAACAGG